ACGUCGUCCGGAACGGCAAGGCCUGGCCAGAAAAAACGGCGACGUACACGGUCAUAGGUUCGAGAUACGCCGAGGUGUCCUGCCGUUGGUGCGUCGUGAAGCUCUUCUAGAACGGUUGAGCGGAGGCGUUUAGGUAUGAGCAGCAGUAAGGUAAGGUAUGUUGUUUAGGUAACAACACGAGCAGCAGCGACGGUGGUGAUCGGACGCCCCCUUAUCUGCUUUGUUUUCGCCUUACAGAUUUCAACGACGAACCCUGCUGCCCCGGCCUCAGGACAGCUCCAAGUGUGACGUCACAGACUUUUGCGCCACCGCUCUUCUGCCGGCCGAGCUGUAAACGGGUCACACGAGCAGCAGCGACGGUGGUGAUCGGACGCCCCCUUAUCUGCUUUGUUUUCGCCUUACAGGUUGGUGAAAAACCUACCUUCUUACUUGCCAUUUUCUUUCACCACCGCUGCUGCUGCCGUGUUGCUCGCUGCUGCCUUGUUUUUUACCGUGCUCUCAGUUGUAGUGUUAGUAGAAAGAUUUCCCAUUUUAAACCUGUAUGUUGCAUAAGCUAUACCAAGGCUAAUAUGCCGGAGACAUGCCCUGCCUGCAAAGAAUGUCUGCCAAGUGACGGACUCGCCAUCAAGUGCACCGAAUCUGUUCAAAAUCUCCGGGAUCGGCCCACGCAAGAGGCCAUGUUUCUACCAGAAAGCUCGCCUUCAUUCAUAGCAUUAGCCACUAGCGUUUCCCGUGACAGAGGCAAGAGGAUACUAACCAUGAAUUGCUCGUCCUCACCGUCUUCUGCUCCAGCUGCUGUGUGCAGAAGGAUGCGAGCCCUGGCAAGUCCUGUGCUCCUUCCUUCUCCAUGGCGCCUCUUCCGG
Molecule: long non-coding RNA, 863 nt
Organism: Dermacentor albipictus
Lineage: Eukaryota; Metazoa; Arthropoda; Arachnida; Ixodida; Ixodidae
Source: RefSeq, a predicted model, not a curated record